Molecule: non-coding RNA, 119 nt
Organism: Gossypium arboreum
Lineage: Eukaryota; Viridiplantae; Streptophyta; Magnoliopsida; Malvales; Malvaceae
Source: Rfam
UGGUGCUAUCAUACCAGCAGUAUUGCAUCGAAUCCAAUCAAAAUUUUGUCGUUAAGCAUGCUUGGACGAGAGUAAUACUGGGAUGGAUCACAUCCUUGGAAGUCUUCUUGUUGCACCCC